Molecule: small RNA, 29 nt
Filed under: Bombyx mori (domestic silkworm)
Lineage: Eukaryota; Metazoa; Arthropoda; Insecta; Lepidoptera; Bombycidae
Description: ovarian small RNA-30768
Source: RNAcentral
UGAACGCGUUAGCUAUGUCAAGGGACACC